GCCAGGAGCUGAGCACCCUCCCUGUCCCACAACCCCAAUCCAAGUUGGGAACGGCAGGACUGGUCUUGCAGGGGUCACCACGAAGCCACCACCAGGGUCUCAUUAUGUCGUCUAGGCUGGCCUCAAACUCAUGGCGAGCCUCCUGCCUCAGCCUCCUGAGUGCUAGAAUAUAGACGUGCACCACCACCACGCCUGGCUUGGAAAAAACCUGCUUCCCGGUGCCUCAGAAUGUGCCUGUGUUGGAGUUAAAGAGAUUGUUCACCACCAUGGCAUUCCUUAACCACAAUGUACGAGGUCUUUUCCUGUUGCUAGUAACACAAUACCAGAAUAGGUAAGGAACAAGAAAAACAUGUUUAUUUUGGCUCACGGUUUGGAAGAGGGAGGUUGAGGGGCCCCAUCUGGUGCUGGGCUUCAUGCUGGGAGGAGAGUAGAGCCAAGCGAGCAUGUGUGCGUCCUGCCCGCCUCUCCUUCCCAGGGUCCCUGAGGUCCUACCCCUCCCGAGCUCACCCAACCUGCCCAUCUCCCUCUCCCAAGGGGGCCAAUUUUAACCUCACAGUGGGGACUCAAUUUCCAUGUGCAUUUCAGGGGAGCAAAGCAUAUUCAAACCAGGGCAAGUGUUUUGUUUCCGUCAAUGCAUUUUACAGCCAGAUGUCUGAGCUUUCAGGCUUUCACAUAAGGACAAGCGAGGAGCCCAACUGGAAGAAGACGGAAGACAGAAAGACUGCACAGGCAGCUCACCCUGGAGAGCUGGGCUCUCUCUUCCCCUACACUUCGCAUCAUAAAGUGAAAUAAAGGCUUAGUUGCCUGGCCUGGUAGGGCAGGCCUGUGCUCCCAGCAUUCCGCCUGAAGCAGGAGGAGCCUCCUUCCAGAGUGCUUGGAUCACAGGUGUGCACCACCACCCCUGGCCUCAGAGCUGUUCUGCAACCAGAGAGGGGCUCGUGACUCCG
RNAcentral lists this long non-coding RNA (947 nucleotides) under Heterocephalus glaber (naked mole-rat). Its description in RNAcentral is "lncRNA (ENSHGLG00100036376.1)". The record is from RNAcentral. Lineage: Eukaryota; Metazoa; Chordata; Mammalia; Rodentia; Bathyergidae.